CAAGAUUCUGAUUCAAAAACUAGAACACUAUGGUAUACGCGGAAUAACAAGACAGUGGUUUGAAGAUUACUUAAAAAACAGAAAACAGAUUGUUAAAUAUAACCAAGUUAAAUCAAAAGCAAUGAUAAUUAAAAGUGGUGUCCCACAGGGGUCAAUUCUUGGACCAAUUUUAUUUCUUCUCUAUAUCAAUAAUAUUUAAAAUUGUA
This is a non-coding RNA of Paramuricea clavata, 206 nucleotides long. NCBI's taxonomy places the organism in Eukaryota, Metazoa, Cnidaria, Anthozoa, Malacalcyonacea, Plexauridae. The record is from the annotation of a GenBank genome assembly.